CAUGAAGCUGGAUUCGCUAGUAAUCGCGCAUCAGCCACGGCGCGGUGAAUACGUUCCCGGGCCUUGUACACACCGCCCGUCAAGCCAUGGAAGCCGGGGGUGCCUGAAGUGCGCUGCCGCAAGGAGCGUCCUAGGGUAAAACCGGUGACUGGGGCUAAGUCGUAACAAGGUAAC
Molecule: ribosomal RNA, 174 nt
Filed under: uncultured bacterium
Lineage: Bacteria
Description: partial 16S ribosomal RNA
Rfam family: Bacterial small subunit ribosomal RNA
Source: RNAcentral